GUGGCUGCAUGCCAGCCAGACACCCAGUCUUGCAAGACUGUCAUUGAAAAUCUCCGUUUUGCUGUUCUCCGGGUCUCUGCGUCCAGUCUUUGUGUUUGGACGGACCUGCCGGGCCAUCUUUCUGCAAGAAGAUAAAGGAAGACCAGGAGUGCCUGCCGAACUCCUAUGGAGGAAGUCUAGGAGAGGAAGGGGACAGGGAGGAAGAUGGUGUCUGCAAACCAGGAAGCAGCCUUGCCAGACACAGGAUUGGCCACAACCUUGACCCCAGACUUCCAGCCUCCAGAACUGUGAGAAAUAAAUGUCCAUAUUGACUAGGGGCACAGGGCAUGGGGGAACUGGUUCCAGACCUGCCUCCUGGGAAGUUGGGAGGGGGCAUUUCAACCUGUUAAUUUCUCAAAUUAUGUAGUCAUU
RNAcentral lists this long non-coding RNA (411 nucleotides) under Homo sapiens (human). Its description in RNAcentral is "HSALNT0309914". Lineage: Eukaryota; Metazoa; Chordata; Mammalia; Primates; Hominidae. The record is from RNAcentral.